GCUAGCCUCAAGUGAUGAUUAUUGGAGGUAGAGCACUGUUUGGACGAGGGGCCCCUCUCGGGUUACCGAAUUCAGACAAACUCCGAAUGCCAAUUAAUUUAACUUGGGAGUCAGAACAUGGGUGAUAAGGUCCGUGUUCGAAAGGGAAACAGCCCAGACCACCAGCUAAGGUCCCAAAAUAUAUGUUAAGUGGAAAAGGAUGUGGCGUUGCCCAGACAACUAGGAUGUUGGCUUAGAAGCAGCCAUCAUUUAAAGAGUGCGUAAUAGCUCACUAGUCGAGUGACACUGCGCCGAAAAUGUACCGGGGCUAAACAUAUUACCGAAGCUGUGGAUUGUCCUUUGGACAAUGGUAGGAGAGCGUUCUAAGGGCGUUGAAGCAUGAUCGUAAGGACAUGUGGAGCGCUUAGAAGUGAGAAUGCCGGUGUGAGUAGCGAAAGACGGGUGAGAAUCCCGUCCACCGAUUGACUAAGGUUUCCAGAGGAAGGCUCGUCCGCUCUGGGUUAGUCGGGUCCUAAGCUGAGGCCGACAGGCGUAGGCGAUGGAUAACAGGUUGAUAUUCCUGUACCACCUAUA
RNAcentral lists this ribosomal RNA (573 nucleotides) under Staphylococcus aureus. RNAcentral's name for it is "partial 23S ribosomal RNA". It matches the Rfam family "Bacterial large subunit ribosomal RNA", at positions 875 to 1452 of the family's 2925-position model. The record is from RNAcentral. Lineage: Bacteria; Bacillati; Bacillota; Bacilli; Caryophanales; Staphylococcaceae.